Molecule: long non-coding RNA, 1474 nt
Filed under: Olea europaea subsp. europaea
Lineage: Eukaryota; Viridiplantae; Streptophyta; Magnoliopsida; Lamiales; Oleaceae
Rfam family: Small nucleolar RNA R160 (bases 689-768)
Source: RNAcentral
AAUCUAUACAAGCUCCCAUUUGCCUAUGGCCGUUUUCUUGUGAUUUGAGUGUGUUUGCAAUAGAGGCAAAAAAGUGGCAGCCGUCUUGAUUCAUUUGAGUUCAACUAUUCCUUUUUCCACCAUUUACCUUAAUCCUUUGUGGCAGCCGAAGUGAAGUGAUGUUGUGGUUUCGGUUGUUGUUUGUUGUUGAUUUAAACUGAGCCCAGUUUCACAGAUGGUUAAAAAUUGCACCAAAUAGCCCUUUGCAACUUGGAGUUAAUAGUUGUGAAGAAAAAUUCGAGGCAAAGGUAUUUCGGUGCUACAGAAAUUUUGUAUUUUGGCAAGAGUUUUGGUUGAAUUAAGGUUUAUUCAUUCAGCUAUAUUUUGCCCUUACUAUAAGCUGUAAACAGCAAGUAAAGCAAAAUGAUGAGAAUUCAUAAGCCGAAUUUCAAUGUGGGGUUGUAAUUAUUAUGGUUUUUCAAAGUUCUCUGAUUGCUUUGCUUUGUUUGAUUAAUUGUUGAAUUUUGAUGAUAUGAAAAUUAUGUUAUGGCCUUUGUUUCCUUUCAAGUUAUUAACAAGAAUUAUAGGUUUUGAAUAAGGAUUCCUGUAUAUAUAUAUAUUUUUUUGCACUUAAUUCUUAUCUUUGUGUAGCUUAAACCAAUGUGAUCUUUUCAAGAAGAGGCCAUGUUUUUGGUGUUGCAAAGGGCAAAGCAAUAUGAUGAAAACUUGUAUAUUCUGAAUUAUAUGUGGAAAUACAUAUUCAAUGGUCUUCAAAGUUCUCUGAUUGCUUGCUGAUUCUUGACAUUUUUAGUUGCCUUGCCAUCUAUUUUUCUUUCUAUUUUAGUGGGUAGGUUAAAAUUUUGGGUUGGGAAAAGAAAGAAUUGAAGCCAGCACCAAAAUACAUGGUCUGUUUUAAAUUUCUAUUCAGACUAUACGAGCAUGGUGUUAUAUUAAAACAUUUCUUCAAUGAUUGCCAAUUGAGUGUGUUUGUGUCAAAUGGCAAAAUCGUUUUGACGAUGAAGAAAAAAGAUUUAAAAUUUUGGCACCUAAUGUGGUGAGGAUUUGCGGCUAUAUUCGACGUGGAUUGAUAGUAUGGUCCUUGUUUUGAAUUUGUCACAAAUUUUAUUAUUAUAUUUCUAAAUAUAAUUUUUAUUUAAAAUUUAAAUAAAUAAGUAACUGGGCAUGUUAUAAUUCCCUCUUUGCCUUAUUGCAUCAUUUAUUUCCCGAUAAUCAAUGUUGUGGCAAGAGAUGGGGAGGGAUAUCUUGUACCAUACCAUUGCCAUCUACAUAGAAAUUAGUAACUAUUACAACAUCAAAAAUCGUUUCUUUUGUAACUAUUUUUAGACUUUAAUUGAAUCAGUAGUCAAUGUUUUGUAACAGUUUGAUUCGCCGAACAAGGAUUUCCUUCUCGGAAAUUUUGUGUUUAUUUUAAUGUCGAGUGGUUAGUAGGGGUGAUUCUAGGAGUUUGAGGGCGAUCGUUGACUGUCUACUGUAG